GUGUCAGCCGCCGCGGUAAGACAGAGGGUGCAAACGUUGUUCGGAAUUACUGGGCGUAAAGCGCGUGUAGGCGGCUCGGAAAGUCGGGUGUGAAAGCCCUGGGCUCAACCCAGGAAGUGCACUCGAAACUUCCAAGCUUGAGUUUUGGAGAGGAAGGCGGAAUUCUCGGUGUAGAGGUGAAAUUCGUAGAUAUCGAGAGGAACACCGGUGGCGAAGGCGGCCUUCUGGACAGUGACUGACGCUGAGACGCGAAAGCGUGGGGAGCAAACAGGAUUAGAUACCCUCGUAGUCC
This 292-nucleotide ribosomal RNA is filed under the name uncultured bacterium. RNAcentral describes it as "partial 16S ribosomal RNA". It matches the Rfam family "Bacterial small subunit ribosomal RNA", at positions 505 to 796 of the family's 1533-position model. The record is from RNAcentral.